Molecule: ribosomal RNA, 253 nt
Filed under: uncultured bacterium
Lineage: Bacteria
Description: partial 16S ribosomal RNA
Rfam family: Bacterial small subunit ribosomal RNA
Source: RNAcentral
UACGUAGGGGGCAAGCGUUAUCCGGAUUUACUGGGUGUAAAGGGAGCGUAGACGGAAUAGCAAGUCUGAUGUGAAAACCCGGGGCUCAACUCCGGGAGUGCAUUGGAAACUGUUGAUCUAGAGUGUUGGAGAGGCAAGCGGAAUUCCUAGUGUAGCGGUGAAAUGCGUAGAUAUUAGGAGGAACACCAGUGGCGAAGGCGGCUUGCUGGACGAUGACUGACGUUGAGGCUCGAAAGCGUGGGGAGCAAACAGG